GAUAAACGCUGGCGGCGUGCUUAACACAUGCAAGUCGAACGGAGUACUUCUCCCGAGACCGAGGAAGCUUGCUUCCAAAGAAUCAUUUGAAGUACUUAGUGGCGGACGGGUGAGUAACGCGUGGGUAACCUCCCUCACACAGGGGGAUAACAGUUGGAAACGACUGUUAAUACCGCAUAAGCGCACAGUAUCGCAUGAUACAGUGUGAAAAACUCCGGUGGUGUGAGAUGGACCCGCGUCUGAUUAGCUAGUUGGUGAGGUAACGGCCCACCAAGGCGACGAUCAGUAGCCGCCCUGAGAGGGUGUACGGCCACAUUGGGACUGAGACACGGCCCAAACUCCUACGGGAGGCAGCAGUGGGGAAUAUUGCACAAUGGGGGAAACCCUGAUGCAGCGACGCCGCGUGAGCGAUGAAGUAUUUCGGUAUGUAAAGCUCUAUCAGCAGGGAAGAUAA
Molecule: ribosomal RNA, 454 nt
Filed under: bacterium MA2018
Lineage: Bacteria
Description: bacterial SSU rRNA
Rfam family: Bacterial small subunit ribosomal RNA
Source: RNAcentral